RNAcentral lists this ribosomal RNA (440 nucleotides) under uncultured bacterium. RNAcentral's name for it is "partial 16S ribosomal RNA". It matches the Rfam family "Bacterial small subunit ribosomal RNA", at positions 338 to 795 of the family's 1533-position model. The record is from RNAcentral.
CCUACGGGAGGCAGCAGUAGGGAAUAUUGCUCAAUGGGGGAAACCCUGAAGCAGCAACGCCGCGUGGAGGAUGAAGGUUUUCGGAUUGUAAACUCCUUUUGUUAGAGAAGAUAAUGACGGUAUCUAACGAAUAAGCACCGGCUAACUCCGUGCCAGCAGCCGCGGUAAUACGGAGGGUGCAAGCGUUACUCGGAAUGACUGGGCGGAAAGAGCGCGUAGGCGGGAUAGCAAGUCAGAUGUGAAAUCCUAUGGCUUAACCAUAGAACUGCAUUUGAAACUGUUAUUCUAGAGUAUGGGAGAGGUAGGUGGAAUUCUUGGUGUAGGGGUAAAAUCCGUAGAGAUCAAGAGGAAUACUCAUUGCGAAGGCGACCUGCUAGAACAUAACUGACGCUGAUGCGCGAAAGCGUGGGGAGCAAACAGGAUUAGAUACUCUAGUAGUG